Molecule: ribosomal RNA, 313 nt
Filed under: Babesia vogeli
Lineage: Eukaryota; Apicomplexa; Aconoidasida; Piroplasmida; Babesiidae
Description: SSU rRNA
Rfam family: Eukaryotic small subunit ribosomal RNA
Source: RNAcentral
CUAAUGUCUUGUAAUUGGAAUGAUGGUGACCCAAACCCUCACCAGAGUAGCAAUUGGAGGGCAAGUCUGGUGCCAGCAGCCGCGGUAAUUCCAGCUCCAAUAGCGUAUAUUAAACUUGUUGCAGUUAAAAAGCUCGUAGUUGAAUUUUAGCGUGUUCGAGUUUGCCAUUCGUUUGGCUUUUUCGAGUUCGCUUUUGGGUUUUCCCUUUUUACUUUGAGAAAAUUAGAGUGUUUCAAGCAGACUUUUGUCUUGAAUACUUCAGCAUGGAAUAAUAGAGUAGGACUUUGGUUCUAUUUUGUUGGUUAUUGAACCU